Molecule: ribosomal RNA, 435 nt
Filed under: uncultured bacterium
Lineage: Bacteria
Description: partial 16S ribosomal RNA
Rfam family: Bacterial small subunit ribosomal RNA
Source: RNAcentral
AACGAACGCUGGCGGCAUGCCUAACACAUGCAAGUCGAACGAUUGCCUUCGGGUGAUAGUGGCGCACGGGUGCGUAACGCGUGGGAAUCUGCCCUUAGGUUCGGAAUAACAGCUGGAAACGGCUGCUAAUACCGGAUGAUAUCGCGAGAUCAAAGAUUUAUCGCCUGAGGAUGAGCCCGCGUUGGAUUAGGUAGUUGGUGGGGUAAAGGCCUACCAAGCCGACGAUCCAUAGCUGGUCUGAGAGGAUGAUCAGCCAUACUGGGACUGAGACACGGCCCAGACUCCUACGGGAGGCAGCAGUGGGGAAUAUUGGACAAUGGGCGCAAGCCUGAUCCAGCAAUGCCGCGUGAGUGAUGAAGGCCCUAGGGUUGUAAAGCUCUUUUACCCGGGAAGAUAAUGACUGUACCGGGAGAAUAAGCCCCGGCUAACUCCGUG